This 486-nucleotide ribosomal RNA is filed under the name uncultured bacterium. RNAcentral's name for it is "partial 16S ribosomal RNA". It matches the Rfam family "Bacterial small subunit ribosomal RNA", at positions 28 to 507 of the family's 1533-position model. The record is from RNAcentral.
GAUGAACGCUGGCGGCGUGCCUAAUACAUGCAAGUCGAACGCUGGAGAUCUAGCUUGCUAGAUCGAAGGAGUGGCGAACGGGUGAGUAAUACAUAAGCAACCUACCCACGAAGACUGGGAUAAUCUCUGGAAACGGGGACUAAUACCGGAUAGGUAAUCGGAAGGCAUCUUCUGGUUAUUAAAGGUUAAAAACACUGGUGGAUGGGCUUAUGGCGCAUUAGUUAGUUGGUGAGGUAACGGCCCACCAAGACGAUGAUGCGUAGCCGGCCUGAGAGGGUGAACGGCCACAUUGGGACUGAGACACGGCCCAGACUCCUACGGGAGGCAGCAGUAGGGAAUUUUCGGCAAUGGGGGCAACCCUGACCGAGCAACGCCGCGUGAGUGAAGACGGCCUUCGGGUUGUAAAGCUCUGUUGUAAGGGAAGAACGGUAGAUAGAGAAUAUCUAAGUGACGGUACCUGACCAGAAAGCCACGGCUAACUACGUG